CAUCAGAUUUUAAUGCUAAAACGUAUUAUUUAACGGAUCGGUGCCGCACGUGCCGGGCUCGCGCUACUUGUGGACAGUUUGUAGUGUUAUGUACAAGGCUGCCGAUAACUACGAAACCAACCGGAAUAGCAACUCAUUUGCAUAAUGUGAAGUGUUGAUAUUGAGCAAGUUGACCGCGCUUACCAAAUAUUAUAUCUUACAUUUGAAAUUCAAAUGUUACCUUACAUAGAGACGUGACCUAAUAAACAAAGCUUAAUCGUGACGCACACACUGGCACCUUGUGCAAGUGUGCGUCGCGUGCAAGACGCGGACACGCGUGCAAGUGUGUGCGCUCCUCGUGUACCCGGCGCACUCGGGGCACUCGGGGCACUCGGGCCACUCGGGGCACUCGGGCCAUUCGGGCCACUCGGGCCACUCGGGCCACUCGGGGCAGUAGUACAGCACUCGCUGAACUUGGUCAGGCUAGCAGGAGCAGGUGUAGCUGUCGCCCCGCUCGAUGCUCACAGCGCCUUCCAAGCCAGGUGACACACCCCUUGCACAAUACUACUUCGAGCAUCCAGUGUCCUGCACAGAGCAGGACUCUCCUCGGAUAGGAGUCGGAGCGCGUGCGCAGGUCACAGCCGCGGUAAUGGUGCUCGUGGAGCUGCUCAGGGUCGCAGCGCUUAACGUUAAUAAUAAAUGAUAGCUUGUAAUGCGAUGCCGAUGCCGCUGACGACCGCUCAUUUUAGAUAAAUUGCUAGAUACGUGUUAUUAUAAUGAUGUACUCAAAACUGGUCACGCAGUCGUUUCAUCACUACAAAGUAUUGUUUACAAAAUAAUUGCAAUACUUGAGAUUAUCUAGCGCUAAGCUCGUUACUGCUUGCGUCGCUGUAAUGGCAGUGUCUGUGAUUAGGCGGCGCGCACACAACGCGUGCGGCCGCGACCGAGGACUCUUCACCCUCGCCGCAUCCGCACAUUGAACGGGGAUUUCCUGUUUCCAAUUAUGAUAUUGUUAGAAAUGUAAAUAUAAAUAAUAUAAGCUUUCGCAAACCUUGUCAUAAUCGUAGCAUUUCAAAAGAGUAAUUAUAAUGUAAGAAUAUUGUGAGGCACGCACGCUGCUGGUCGCGGCGUGGAGCGACGACUGUGUGCAGCCUGCAUGCGCACGCGUCGACACUAGCGCUGCAACCGAUCGAUAUUCCCAGGCAAUCGAUUGCCUUACUAUUCUCUCACGGAGUUUUUCUUUUCGUAAAGUUUGAUCCAAGUAUCUGUUUGAGCUAAUGGCAUGCAAGUAUAAGUUUAUGUUUACCGUUAUUUGAAAUAAUACGCAAAUUUAAAAAAAAAGUGAGAUGUGCUUAGGGCAUAUUUGGACUUGGAUUCACCAUGUAUAGUAAAUAAUAAAAAGUAAAUAAAAAAAGUUUGAUAUGGAAUACAAAACUAGAUAAUACCUACAUAAGGAAAAUUGAGAAAAAAUAUCUUAAUAAAAACCAGGACUUAAAUAUCUGAAAUUGCUAACUCGCCUUGAUUUAACUUUCAUUCCUUCUCUGUAUGAGAAGAGUACCUAUGACUAGCAGUGCGAUAAUAAAAAAAACUGAUGAUGAUUCGUGUUUUAAAUGCACUUUUGUUUGACUAGCACGCAUACUUGUUACAUAGGUAUGACUAAAAGUCUGAUUAGUUGUCAGAUCGCGAGCAGAGGUCGCGGUGCGCCGGCGCAAUCGGGCGCGGCUUGCAUACAUAACGACACACACACACACACACCCACACACACACACUACACCCCGCCGACUCGCUGGUCGCUUGGACAUGACGCUAGGACGCCUUGCGCCCAUCAACCUAGCUCGAUAAGUCUGCUAACAAUAGUUUUAGGUUGAGUUAUCGGUCUGGCUGAAUAUAUGACUUCUGUACAUCUACCAAAUUGUACAAUUGUUACUAUAACACUCAACAUGGAUUUUAGUAAAACAGUGCUCAAAAGUGAAG
Molecule: long non-coding RNA, 1953 nt
Organism: Helicoverpa zea (corn earworm)
Lineage: Eukaryota; Metazoa; Arthropoda; Insecta; Lepidoptera; Noctuidae
Exons: 2
Source: RefSeq, a predicted model, not a curated record